CCUACGGGUGGCAGCAGUGAGGAAUAUUGGUCAAUGGACGAGAGUCUGAACCAGCCAAGUAGCGUGAAGGAUGACUGCCCUAUGGGUUGUAGACUUCUUUUAUAUGGGAAUAAAAUGUUCCACGUGUGGGUUUUUGUAUGUACCCUAUGAUUAAGGAUCGGCUAACUCCGUGCAAGCAGCCGAGGUAAUACGGAGGAUCCGAGCGUUAUCCGGAUUUAUUGGGUUUAAAGGGAGCGUAGGUGGAUUGUUAAGUCAGUUGUGAAAGUUUGCGGCUCAACCGUAAAAUUGCAGUUGAAACUGGCAGGCUUGAGUACAGUAGAGGUGGGCGGAAUUCGUGGUGUAGCGGUGAAAUGCUUAGAUAUCACGAAGAACUCCGAUUGCGAAGGCAGCUCACUGGACUGCAACUGACACUGAGGCUCGAAAGUGUGGGUAUCAAACAGGAUUAGAUACCCGAGUAGUC
RNAcentral lists this ribosomal RNA (460 nucleotides) under uncultured bacterium. Its description in RNAcentral is "partial 16S ribosomal RNA". It matches the Rfam family "Bacterial small subunit ribosomal RNA", at positions 338 to 795 of the family's 1533-position model. The record is from RNAcentral.